RNAcentral lists this ribosomal RNA (406 nucleotides) under uncultured bacterium. Its description in RNAcentral is "partial 16S ribosomal RNA". It matches the Rfam family "Bacterial small subunit ribosomal RNA", at positions 29 to 526 of the family's 1533-position model. The record is from RNAcentral.
AUUGAACGCUGGCGGCAGGCCUAACACAUGCAAGUCGAACGAGUGGCGGACGGGUGAGUAAUGUCUGGGAAACUGCCUGAUGGAGGGGGAUAACUACUGGAAACGGUAGCUAAUACCGCAUACCAUCGGAUGUGCCCAGAGGGGAUUGGCUUGUUGGUGGGGUAACGGCGCACCAAGGCGACGAUCCCUAGCUGGUCUGAGAGGUUGACCAGCGACACGGGAACUGAGACACGGGCCAGACUCCUACGGGAGGCAGCAGUGGGGAAUAUUGCACAAUGGGCGCAAGCCGGAUGCAGCCAGGCCGCGUGUAUGAAGGAGGCCUUCGGGUUGUAAAGUACUUUCAGCGGGGAGGCGUUACCCGCAGAAGAAGCACCGGCUAACUCCGUGCCAGCAGCCGCGGUAAUAC